Small nucleolar RNA from Dioscorea cayenensis subsp. rotundata (Guinea yam), 106 nucleotides. Lineage: Eukaryota; Viridiplantae; Streptophyta; Magnoliopsida; Dioscoreales; Dioscoreaceae. The record is from RefSeq and is a predicted model, not a curated record.
AAGCCAUGGUGUGGGCAUAAUCUCAUUAACUCGUUGAACUUAUCCCAAGAUUCAUACAAUGAUUCACCAUCUUUUGAGAAAAACCAGUGAUUUGGUUCCACAGCUG